RNAcentral lists this transfer RNA (43 nucleotides) under Lophoziopsis jurensis. RNAcentral's name for it is "partial tRNA-Phe". Lineage: Eukaryota; Viridiplantae; Streptophyta; Jungermanniopsida; Jungermanniales; Lophoziaceae. The record is from RNAcentral.
GCCGGGAUAGCUCAGUUGGUGAAGCAGAGGACUGAAAAUCCUC